Non-coding RNA from Gloeopeniophorella convolvens, 107 nucleotides. The record is from the annotation of a GenBank genome assembly. Lineage: Eukaryota; Fungi; Basidiomycota; Agaricomycetes; Russulales.
GGUCUUGUAGUGUAGUGGUUAUCACUCGGGAUUUUGAGGGUAUCCGGCCAACACCGGAUCCGAUUUGAAAUCUUCCCGAAACCCAGGUUCGAACCCUGGCAAGACCU